RNAcentral lists this ribosomal RNA (207 nucleotides) under uncultured bacterium. RNAcentral describes it as "partial 16S ribosomal RNA". It matches the Rfam family "Bacterial small subunit ribosomal RNA", at positions 568 to 774 of the family's 1533-position model. The record is from RNAcentral.
CAUGUAGGCGGUUUUGCAAGCUUGAUGUGAAAUGCCGGGGCUUAACUCCGGCACUGCGUUGAGAACUGCAUGACUAGAGUAACUGAGGGGCAGCCGGAAUUCCAGGUGUAGGGGUGAAAUCUGUAGAUAUCUGGAAGAACACCAAUGGCGAAGGCAGGCUAUUAGCAGAUUACUGAUGCUGAGGUGCGAAGGUGCGGGGAGCAAACA